UGAUCUUUUUGUUGGAGUCAUAGCAAUGUGAUCUAGUGGGGGAAAUCUGGUUUUUAAUUUAUUGUUUUAAAUGUUUUACAUGGCAUUUUAUUGUAAGCUUCCUAGAAUCAUCUUGAACAGAUGGGUGGCAUAGAAGUUUAAUAAUAAAAUUAAUAAAUAGGCUGGUCUCCUCUGAGAGAUUCAUGAAGCUGUAGAGGUUUAAUGGUAAAGAGAGGAUCAGGACAAAGCAUUUCUACUCCCAUUCCUAUUCUAUCCUCUCUUUGUGUCUGUCUUUCCAAUGCAGGGAGGAACCAGGCCAUUUAGCAGCCCCCUCGGAGUUGCAGCAGACAAGAUAGUCAGGAACAUCGUGAGGUAAAUCAAAGAGCACAUGGAACACAGAGAAGAAAAAGGUGGGAAAACGGGAAACUCCCCCUUUAUACCCACAGCAACCAAUCAUAGUGUGGAUUGCCUCGUGCAGAAGCCAGCACAACCAAUCAGCUCUUUCCCCAUUGGACACUUUCCUGUCCCAGCUACUGAAUUUAAUAUCCUACAAGACUAGGGGGUCCACAGUGCAGGAAGAAAAGGGGGGCAGAUGAGGGGCUUCUUGAGGUCCUGCAGUCAUGGAUGGAGAAGGGGCUUCUCUCCACUCUUUGGAGCCCUCUGGGAAUCCCUCCCUCCAGAGGCUGAAGGAAGACAUGGGGAGGGGGGCUUGAGCUAGGGAUCCAUAAGUACAGACUAGUAUUGGAUUCGUGUAUUUGAGGAGGAACAUUGAUGUUAUGUAACUUGUGGGGCAGAUUCUCAGCUGCUUCAAGAGCCAGUCUCAGCCCUGCCUCUGCCUUCUUUCUACCUUGGAGAAUCCCACCCAGCUGAUCCCUCUCGUGAGGAAGCCGCAGUUCUCAUGAGUAGGAUCAGCUCGGCAGAUUGGUGCUGAUCCCUCAGCCUAGGCGGUGGGAUUCCUCCUCUUGGCUCCCUCCCAGACUGACACUGCCUGCUUUUUCCCUCUCUUGGUAGCAUGAGUGGACAGUCCCAGCAUGAGGAGAGAGGAAAGGAGAAGGGAUCAAUCUUCUUCUGAAUUAGGUCGGACUCUCAGGAGGAGCCCUUCAGGCCCAUGCUGCAUGCCUGGAACCAGGAUGUAUUUGGGGGCCUUUCGCCAUUGCUUUUAUCAUUGGAUCAGUAACCUUUUGUAUUAGGAUAGAGGAACGGGGG
Molecule: non-coding RNA, 1185 nt
Organism: Pseudonaja textilis
Lineage: Eukaryota; Metazoa; Chordata; Lepidosauria; Squamata; Elapidae
Source: RefSeq, a predicted model, not a curated record